This 45-nucleotide non-coding RNA is filed under the name Schistosoma margrebowiei. Lineage: Eukaryota; Metazoa; Platyhelminthes; Trematoda; Strigeidida; Schistosomatidae. The record is from RNAcentral.
ACCUAGCUGACGAGUUCCAAAUAGGACGAGACGCUCGUUCUGGAU